This is a non-coding RNA of Microcebus murinus (gray mouse lemur), 1046 nucleotides long. The record is from RefSeq and is a predicted model, not a curated record. Lineage: Eukaryota; Metazoa; Chordata; Mammalia; Primates; Cheirogaleidae.
UACCUAGAAAGUUCUGAGUGGAAUGUUUAUUGUUGUGGCUGCUUGGAUCCGCCCAUCUUAAACUCUUCCUCACAGCAACUUUGAAAGAUUGUGGAUUUUAGGCCAGACACAGGACCAAGCCUUUUCAAACUGAGCUCUCAGAGCACUUAUAUAUCCAGAUUAUGACUUUUUAUGAUCUACAACCCUCAAUACAAUGGAUGCCUACACCAGGGAUAAUGACCAACUGUCCACCUGGAUUAGAAUAUUUGGAUCAGAUAAAUCAGUUAAUAGUGUGUCAACGUUUUGAUCUUCUGGAAGGUAUCAGAGGAGCAAUGAUUCCAGAUUCUUUGAGAAUUCUGCUAAUAGAAGCAGAAUACAGUUCUCAGUAAUUUGGAAACUAGUAAAACAUAUGAAAUCAUGAACAAUCAAGGACAGAGAAUUUAUUUUGCAGAAGAGAGAUAUAACUGGUUUCUUCAAUGCCUUUGUGGUUCUUCAAGGCCUUUUACUAUGACAAUUUAUGAUAAUGUAGGUCGGGAUGUAAUUGCUCUUCAUAAAGCUCUAAGAUGUAGCUGUUGCUGGAGUAGCUGCUACCCACAAAAGCUAAAAGUUGAGUCUCCACCUGGUGAAACAAUUGGAUAUGUUUACCAAUACUUUCACCCAUUUUUUCCAAAGUUUAAAAUAAAAAAUGAGAAUAAGGAAGAUAUAAUGAAAAUAAGAGGGCCAUGUGUGCUUUUCUGCUGUCUCACCAAUCUAAAUUUUAAUUUGUUGCCUAUGGAUGAACAAAUGGUUAUUGGAAAGAUUUCAAAGCCCUACCCUGGAUUUGUGAGAAGACUAUUAAGGAAUGGUAAUACGUUUGGGAUCCAGUUUCCAUUUGAUCUUGAUGUUAAAAUGAAAGCGUUGAUACUUGGAGCAAGUUUUCUUAUUGACUAUAUGUAUUUUGAAUUCUGGUCAUAAGAAUUAGUCUGAGAGACUAUGCCAGAGACUACUAGCAUUAAGUUUUGCCAACCCUCAGCAAAAUUAAACAAUUCUUACUGAAAAUAUCUAAAUAAAGUUUUGCUUCCUUAAAA